Long non-coding RNA from Sapajus apella (tufted capuchin), 102 nucleotides. RefSeq lists it as uncharacterized. The record is from RefSeq and is a predicted model, not a curated record. The transcript has 3 exons. NCBI's taxonomy places the organism in Eukaryota, Metazoa, Chordata, Mammalia, Primates, Cebidae.
CUCCUUGUUCCUCAGCCUUGCAGACAGCCUAUUGUGGGACCUGUGAUCGUGUAAGUUAAUACUGAAUAAACUCCCCUUUAUAUGUAUGCAUAUUUCUUUGGU